This 468-nucleotide ribosomal RNA is filed under the name uncultured bacterium. RNAcentral's name for it is "partial 16S ribosomal RNA". It matches the Rfam family "Bacterial small subunit ribosomal RNA", at positions 28 to 523 of the family's 1533-position model. The record is from RNAcentral.
GAUGAACGCUGGCGGCGUGCCUAACACAUGCAAGUCGAGCGAUUUACUUCGGUAAAGAGCGGCGGACGGGUGAGUAACGCGUGGGCAACCUGCCCUGUACACACGGAUAACAUACUGAAAGGUAUGCUAAUACGGGAUAACAUAAGAGAGCCGCAUGGCUUUCUUAUCAAAGCUUUUGCGGUACAGGAUGGACCCGCGUCUGAUUAGCUAGUUGGUAAGGUAACGGCUUACCAAGGCGACGAUCAGUAGCCGACCUGAGAGGGUGAUCGGCCACAUUGGAACUGAGACACGGUCCAAACUCCUACGGGAGGCAGCAGUGGGGAAUAUUGCACAAUGGGCGAAAGCCUGAUGCAGCAACGCCGCGUGAGUGAUGAAGGCCUUCGGGUCGUAAAGCUCUGUCCUCAAGGAAGAUAAUGACGGUACUUGAGGAGGAAGCCCCGGCUAACUACGUGCCAGCCGCCGCGGUAA